GUGUGGGGUGGCUGCGGGGACAGAGACAUGCAGGGCGGCCUCCCCUCAGACUCAGAUCACUAAGCUCUGUGGCAAGGCCUGUACCGUCUUAGCCAUCUCUUCAGCUCCAGCAUGCUUUCAAGAGCAGCAUCUAACGCCAAUCCUCCAGGACUGGAGCUGCUGGCGGGUGUUGGGUUCACCUUCUUACUGAAGAUGCUGAGGAGAUAGUCCAUGAUGUCUGCAACCACAUAGAGGUCAGCUGGCACUCUUGUUGACAGAGCAAAGCCAUCAAACAACCUCCCUGGGCACGAUUCAAUUUGUGGCAGAAGGUCAAGCCACGCCAGCUGGAACUGGGCCUGGGGUUCCGGGGCCGUCUGGAAGGCCUCAAUGCUGUUGCAGCUCAGGUC
Psammomys obesus (fat sand rat) is the source of this 386-nucleotide long non-coding RNA. RefSeq lists it as uncharacterized. The record is from RefSeq and is a predicted model, not a curated record. Lineage: Eukaryota; Metazoa; Chordata; Mammalia; Rodentia; Muridae. The transcript has 3 exons.